AUCCCUCCGCAGCUAGCUUCUUAGAGGGACUAUGGCCGUUUAGGCCACGGAAGUUUGAGGCAAUAACAGGUCUGUGAUGCCCGGGUAAUCUUGGGAAAUUUCAUCGUGAUGGGGAUAGAUCAUUGCAAUUGUUGGUCUUCAACGAGGAAUGCCUAGUAAGCGUGAGUCAUCAGCUCGCGUUGACUACGUCCCUGCCCUUU
Molecule: ribosomal RNA, 200 nt
Filed under: uncultured organism
Description: partial small subunit ribosomal RNA
Rfam family: Eukaryotic small subunit ribosomal RNA
Source: RNAcentral